AGAGUUUGAUCCUGGCUUAGAACGAACGCUGGCGGCGUGGAUAAGACAUGCAAGUCGAGCGCUGAUUUCGGGUAGCAAUAUUCCCGAGUCGGAGCGGCGCAAGGGUGCGUAACACGUGGGUAAUCUGCCAUGAAGUUCGGGAUAACUUGCUGAAAGGCGAGCUAAUACCGGAUGUGAUAACUGAAAGGCAUCUUUUGGUUAUUAAAGUUGGGGACCGUAAGGCCUGACGCUUCUUGAUGAACCCGCGGCCUAUCAGCUAGUUGGUGAGGUAACGGCUCACCAAGGCUAAGACGGGUAGCUGGUCUGAGAGGACGACCAGCCACACUGGAUCUGAGACACGGUCCAGACACCUACGGGUGGCAGCAGUCGAGAAUUUUUCACAAUGGGCGAAAGCCUGAUGGAGCGACGCCGCGUGGGGGAUGAAUGGCUUCGGCCUGUAAACCCCUGUCAUUCGCGAUCAAACCUUAUUAUUUAAAAGAUGAUGAGCUGAUAGUAGCGGAAGAGGAAGGGACGGCUAACUCUGUGCCAGCAGCCGCGGUAAUACAGAGGUCCCAAGCGUUGUUCGGAUUCACUGGGCGUAAAG
Molecule: ribosomal RNA, 583 nt
Filed under: uncultured soil bacterium
Lineage: Bacteria
Description: bacterial SSU rRNA
Rfam family: Bacterial small subunit ribosomal RNA
Source: RNAcentral